CUACGGGGUGCAGCAGUGGGGAAUAUUGGACAAUGGGCGAAAGCCUGAUCCAGCAAUGCCGCGUGUGUGAAGAAGGCCUGCGGGUUGUAAAGCACUUUCAGUUGGGAAGAUGAUGACGUUACCAACAGAAGAAGCACCGGCUAAAUCCGUGCCAGCAGCCGCGGUAAUACGGAUGGUGCGAGCGUUAAUCGGAAUUACUGGGCGUAAAGCGCGCGUAGGCGGCUAAGUCAGUCAGAAGUGAAAGCCCCGGGCUCAACCUGGGAAUUGCUUUUGAUACUGCUUAGCUAGAGUUUGGUAGAGGAUAGUGGAAUUCCAGGUGUAGCGGUGAAAUGCGUAGAUAUCUGGAGGAACAUCAGUGGCGAAGGCGACUGUCUGGACCAAAACUGACGCUGAGGUGCGAAAGCGUGGGUAGCAAACAGGAUUAGAUACCCUUGUAGUC
RNAcentral lists this ribosomal RNA (439 nucleotides) under uncultured bacterium. Its description in RNAcentral is "partial 16S ribosomal RNA". It matches the Rfam family "Bacterial small subunit ribosomal RNA", at positions 339 to 795 of the family's 1533-position model. The record is from RNAcentral.